AAAGGCAGUAGUAAUACAGAGUACUUUUGCGUGAAUACGUGCAAAUUGUGUUAUCGAAUUAUUGCAAAAUACAGAAGCUUGUCGUCUGGCACUUGCCAUCGAGGAAUUGAUUAGCCACUACUCAGUUUAUAAAUGAUUAGCUGAAACAAUGUCUCGUCUGGUUACUGCUAACUGCUUGCUAGCUACAAUUGCCUGUCUACUGUGGCAAACUGAAGCUUAUGGAGACGUAAAACUGACGAGCGAUGGACCUGCAGUACUAGGGAGUGUUGUCACCUUCAAAGCAGAGGUGGUUGAUAGCAACGGGGAAGUACCACCAGGAAAGUUCGGUUUUACAUGGCACGAUGAUGCCCUCCGUCCUCAUAAAAAUAAGACUGAUUCAACAACAAAUACUAUAAGCUAUUUCAGAGUAGAAUACAAAGCUCCAGAAUAUCAUGUAGGUGUUUAUCACAUGGAAGUAAUUGUUUGCAAUUGGAUACUAGGUGGUUUGUUUUGUCCUGAAUAUGCCAGCAGAAGGAUACAGAUUCGAGUUAGUUCCAAUCUCAAUGGAAACCUGCAUAUAGAACAAAACAACAAAACUAUGGAGGGUAAAUUUAUAUCAACUAGCAAUGAAACGCAUUUAUCGGUGGAUUUACGUCAAGGAGAUUAUGAUUACAUCACGAGUACAGCCACCUCGAUAUUGACCUACUGGUUUAUUGAUUGCAAGCCUUUCAAUUACACUACUGAUAUGAAAUUUAAUUAUAAUUUUACCAAACCUAGUGAAUUUCAUACCAUACAAGCUCUGGUGAUAGCUUCUUAUGAUCAGCCAGUAACAACAACGAUAGCACCAACUACUACUACCAGCACCACAUCUUCACCAGUAAAUCUAACAAUUCCAGUUCCAUCUAAUUCUAAUUCUUCUAUAAUUACAACCACAACUACCACUGCUAUCACAACUACUACUACUACACCUACUACUACUACAAUCACAACAGCUAAGCCAACUGAGAGUUCAAAUGAAACAGCGGUUUUAGGAAAUCUUACAUUCCCAUUUGUAUGUGGCUCGACUAUUAUUCCAAUUACGAACAAAACAUAUGGUUACUUUCAGAAGGAAGUUAAUACAAGAGCUCCUAUUUCCAAGCUAAAUAUUGAAGGUGCAACGUAUAUCGAUGCGUUCCAAGAACUUCAGUUGACACUCACAUGGAAUGGUACGCCUCCAUUUUACCAAUGCAUUGAACUUCAUACAGGAACAUACAAUGUUACUGGCAAUGAAACUUGUGAUAGUAGCAGAGGUACCAAACUAGAUGUUUAUCAAUAUAAAUUCUCCCAUUUCUUCUUUGAUUAUCUGGAAUGGACUGUAUUGAUAAUUCUUAGCAACGACAUAAGCACAGAAGUUCAUCCUGUGGCUGUAAAUAUUGUUAAAAAAGUACCACAGCCACAGUUAUCAGUGAUAGUGGUGCCAGUCUCGUGUUCCCUAGUAGCCAUUGUGGUGGUAAUCUUUGGUAUCGCUUACUGGGUACAAAGCAGAGCUCGUUUCACGGUCGAAGUGGCGGAUUUUGAUUUCGGACAGAGCAAUACUGACAUGGAAUACAAGACCUUCACCGAACGGCUACGCGACUCAUUCAAUAACGCUGUAAGACCCGGACAACAAAGUCUCUUAGGCAAACGGUCACCUACUUACGGGAGCAUGAACAACUGAAAUGAAGCACUUGAACUUUCAGACUUUUGAUGAACUCACCUUUUUGAAAAAAUGGCUACAAACAGCUGGAUGAGAAUAAAGACAACGCGCAAUGACAAAAUAAUGAAAAGGCAAAGCAACAGCGGUGAACGCAAUUAAAGAAAAUAAAUAAAUGAACCAGAAGACAUUACAGUUUCCACAAUUUUGGGCACAGUAUUAUCAGAGCAGAUUUAAGCGUGUUACCAGCCGGUACGCAAAUCGUCGCUAUAACACAUUGAAGAAGAAAAAUUGUACAUAAUGAAUGGAAAGGCAACCUAUAGGCUGUGAGUGUGACGAUAAGAGAAAAAAAAGGCGUACGUAAUAAUUGUUAAUACCGAGUGAUAACGUACGCAUAUAUCGACGUGAAUGUUUUCUAGGCGAACGUUUUUAUCGCCGAAAUUCUCCUUUCCGAAUCUCUUUAAAAAAAGUAUCUUCGAUUAUUAAGAGUGUUUGUUUUUCAACGGUGUAUGGCUUCGAAACAUACAAGCUAAUAUGCAUCCAUUUUUUAUGGUAAAACUUUACCAUAUAUAAGCGGUUGUUUCUAGUUUUUUUAUUUUUCAUAAUAUUAAUGUUGAUAUAUAUACACUGUACAUUUGUAAUACAUCAUUGCACUGUUUAUCACUUAAGUCAAUCAAAAGAAAGCGGAAGAGAGUGCAAUUGAAAUAUAUAUUUUUAUUAUUUAUGAUACAAUAAAAAAUAAAUAUCAAUCAGACGUGUACGAAUCGUAAAAAGCUAUCGAAUCGUCUAUCGUAACUGAUGAAAAUUAUUACUCACGCAAAAAUAAUGGAGUAGAAAAAAAAUUGUUGAAAAUAAAAGUCGAAGCAUUCAUUCGCAAAUAAACAAUGAUGAAGCUGAACUCAACGAGUCUAAUU
RNA transcript from Phymastichus coffea, 2565 nucleotides. RefSeq lists it as uncharacterized. The record is from RefSeq and is a predicted model, not a curated record. The transcript has 7 exons. NCBI's taxonomy places the organism in Eukaryota, Metazoa, Arthropoda, Insecta, Hymenoptera, Eulophidae.